AUUAUUUUCUGUUAAUUUAAUAAUAUAAGUUCUACAUCUCUCCUCUUUCUAUUGGUUACUAAGAAAAAAGAA
RNAcentral lists this small RNA (72 nucleotides) under Arabidopsis thaliana (thale cress). Its description in RNAcentral is "ATSL282310". The record is from RNAcentral. Lineage: Eukaryota; Viridiplantae; Streptophyta; Magnoliopsida; Brassicales; Brassicaceae.